AAUGAACGCUGGCGGCAGGCCUAACACAUGCAAGUCGAACGGAUCCUUCGGGAUUAGUGGCGGACGGGUGAGUAACGCGUGGGAACAUACCCUUUGGUACGGAAUAGCCUCGGGAAACUGGGAGUAAUACCGUAUGUGGUCGAGAGACGAAAGAUUUAUCGCCAAAGGAUUGGCCCGCGUUGGAUUAGGUAGUUGGUGGGGUAAUGGCCUACCAAGCCGACGAUCCAUAGCUGGUUUGAGAGGAUGAUCAGCCACACUGGGUCUGAGGCACGGCCCAGACUCCUACGGGAGGCAGCAGUGGGGAAUCUUAGACAAUGGGGGAAACCCUGAUCUAGCCAUGCCGCGUGAUCGAUGAAGGCCUUAGGGUUGUAAAGAUCUUUCAGGUGGGAAGAUAAUGACUGUACCACCAGAAGAAGCCCCGGCUAACUCCUUGCCAGCCGCCGCAGUAA
This 449-nucleotide ribosomal RNA is filed under the name uncultured bacterium. RNAcentral describes it as "partial 16S ribosomal RNA". It matches the Rfam family "Bacterial small subunit ribosomal RNA", at positions 29 to 523 of the family's 1533-position model. The record is from RNAcentral.